UACGUAGGGUGCGAGCGUUGUCCGGAAUUACUGGGCGUAAAGAGCUCGUAGGUGGUUUGUCGCGUUGUUCGUGAAAACCGGGGGCUUAACCCUCGGCGUGCGGGCGAUACGGGCAGACUUGAGUACUGCAGGGGAGACUGGAAUUCCUGGUGUAGCGGUGGAAUGCGCAGAUAUCAGGAGGAACACCGGUGGCGAAGGCGGGUUGCUGGGCUGACACUGACGCUGAGGCGCGAAAGCCAGGGGAGCGAAUGGG
Molecule: ribosomal RNA, 253 nt
Filed under: uncultured bacterium
Lineage: Bacteria
Description: partial 16S ribosomal RNA
Rfam family: Bacterial small subunit ribosomal RNA
Source: RNAcentral